AUACGGAGGGUGCAAGCGUUGUUCGGAAUUACUGGGCGUAAAGCGCGUGUAGGCGGCUUGGAAAGUCGGAUGUGAAAGCCCGGGGCUCAACCCCGGAACUGCAUCCGAAACUGCCUGGCUAGAGUCCCGGAGAGGAGGGCAGAAUUCCCAAUGUAGGGGUGAAAUCCGUAGAUAUUGGGAGGAAUACCAGUGGCGAAGGCGGCCCUCUGGACGGUGACUGACGCUCAGACGCGAAAGCGUGGGGAGCAAACAGGAGUAGAUACCCGAGUAGUCC
RNAcentral lists this ribosomal RNA (274 nucleotides) under uncultured bacterium. Its description in RNAcentral is "partial 16S ribosomal RNA". It matches the Rfam family "Bacterial small subunit ribosomal RNA", at positions 523 to 796 of the family's 1533-position model. The record is from RNAcentral.